UGGAAACCCAUUCAAUUAGUAAAGGAUGGUCCCAAACUUUCACAUUUAUUCUUUGCCAAUAACUUGGUUCUCUUUGAAAUAGCUUUCUAUAACUUGAUGGAAGUGAUUGAGAGAUGUAUGACUCGAUUCUAUAGUGUUUCUUGUCAAAAGCUGAAUAAGGAAAAAACUAAGCUCUGUGUAUCCGCUAAUGUUCAUUUUAAUAGAACCCAAGAGCUCAAUGAUGUUCUUGGUGUUGGGUUAACUGGAGACUUGAGAAAAUAUUUGGGUAUUCCUCUAAUUCAUAAGAGGGUGACUUAUAGAAUCUAUGUACUGAUCUUGUCAAAUGUAAGAAGAAGGUUGUUGAGUUGGAAAGGUAGGUAUCUCACCUUGGCUGGUUGGUUAAUUUUGGUCAAAUCUAUUAUCUUCACCCUUCCCUCAUCUUUUAUGCAAACCAUUCUCCUUCCAACAAGCACUCUUAAUGAGCUUGAAAGCAUAAGCCGUGAUUUUUUACAGGGAGAAAAUGAAGACAAGAAGAAGAUUAUCUCCUUUCGUGGCAGACCUUGUAGAAAUAUAGGAAUUGUGGCGGGUUGGGUAUUAAAAACUUGACAUACCAAAGUAAAUCUUUCAUUUGAAAACUUUGUUGGGCUUUGGUUACCAACCUUAAGACUUUAUGGGUUCAAGUUCUCAAAUCUAAAUACAAAUGUGGAGUUGGUGUCACACUUGAUAUCAAAAGAAGAAGUGGAGCAUUUAUAACUUGGAAAAGCAUUCUCAAGGUUUGGAACUCCUUUCAACAUAGUUUAGGAAAGUUUAUUGCUUCUGGGAGUCACAUUCUUUCUGGUUUGAUCGUUGGCUUCCCACCAAAACUCCUCUUAUUGACUUAGUGGAACAUGGCAAAGAGUUCAUAGAUAUUAAUGAAAGUGUAAGGGAUCAUGUCCUUUCUUCGGGAACUUGGGAUGUGUACAAAAUGAGACCCUUGCUUCUUAACCAUAUUGUGAACCUCAUUGUAAGCAUGAAAACCCCUUAUGAGGAAUGGAAGAUAACAGAGAACUAGUUUGGUGAGCAAUAUGGAGACAAAAGAUCACAGAGAAGAUCAAAACUAUAUUCUAGUUGAUGGAGCAUGAUAGAGUUCAUACAAUCACACAACGUUUGUGGAGAGGUUUAAUAGAAGAUAUACCUUACCCCUUUAGAUGUAUGGCUUUGGAAGACACUAUCCACCUUUUUUGUGACUGUACUCCUACCAAGCAUUGGUGGAAUGAGUAUGUGCACCAAGAUAUGUUGGAUAUAUUUUUUUCUUUAGAUAAGAGGGACUGGUUAUCCUAGAAUAUGAAAGCUCGUGUGGGUAACUCAUCUACUAUGAUUGUGCCCUAGAACACUUUAUUUGCUUACAUUUGUUGGAAUAUUUGGAUAGAUGCAGGGUUCUCUUUCAAGGUUGUACCGAUGUGAUUUAGGAGGAUCCAUACUUCUUUUUAUUCAAUGUUGUUGCCGACGUUAAAUUGUCUAGUAAUUUUGACUUACUUCCUAGAGAUAGAAAUGUUGUGCUCUAAAAUCCUUUGAAUGAUGUUGCUAUCAUACUUGAAAUCGAUGACCCAAUCCUUAAGAAUGGCA
Prosopis cineraria is the source of this 1584-nucleotide long non-coding RNA. RefSeq lists it as uncharacterized. The record is from RefSeq and is a predicted model, not a curated record. Lineage: Eukaryota; Viridiplantae; Streptophyta; Magnoliopsida; Fabales; Fabaceae. The transcript is spliced from 2 exons.